Molecule: ribosomal RNA, 425 nt
Filed under: uncultured bacterium
Lineage: Bacteria
Description: partial 16S ribosomal RNA
Rfam family: Bacterial small subunit ribosomal RNA
Source: RNAcentral
GUGGGGAAUAUUGGACAAUGGGCGAAAGCCUGAUCCAGCAAUGCCGCGUGAGUGAUGAAGGCCUUAGGGUUGUAAAGCUCUUUUACUAGGGAUGAUAAGGACAGUACCUGGAGAAUAAGCUCCGGCUAACUCCGUGCCAGCAGCCGCGGUAAUACGGAGGGAGCUAGCGUUGUUCGGAAUUACUGGGUGUAAAGCGCACGUAGGCGGUUACUCAAGUCAGAGGUGAAAGCCCGGGGCUCAACCGCGGAACUGCCUUUGAAACUAGGUAACUAGAAUCUUGGAGAGGUAAGCGGAAUUCCGAGUGUAGAGGUGAAAUUCGUAGAUAUUCGGAAGAACACCAGUGGCGAAGGCGACUGACUGGACAAGUAUUGACGCUGAGGUGCGAAAGCGUGGGGAGCAAACAGGAUUAGAAACCCGGGUAGUCC